This is an RNA transcript of Eriocheir sinensis (Chinese mitten crab), 2175 nucleotides long. RefSeq lists it as uncharacterized. The transcript has 3 exons. NCBI's taxonomy places the organism in Eukaryota, Metazoa, Arthropoda, Malacostraca, Decapoda, Varunidae. The record is from RefSeq and is a predicted model, not a curated record.
UAAUACCAAUCUGUCACCUCAGCCACAAAAAGCUUGAAACAGGUAAACUUGACAUGGGUAAGCUUGGGUGUGAUUCUGGAAUAAUACCAAGCUGUCACCUCAGCCACAAAAAGCUUGAAACAGGUAAACUUGACAUGGGUAAGCUUGGGUGUGAUUCUGGAAUAAUACCAAGCUGUCACCUCAGCCACAAAAAGCUUGAAACAGGUAAACUUGACAUGGGUAAGCUUGGGUGUGAUUCUGGAAUAAUACCAAGCUGUCACCUCAGCCACAAAAAGCUUGAAACAGGUAAACUUGACAUGGGUAAGCUUGGGUGUGAUUCUGGAAUAAUACCAAGCUGUAACCUCAGCCACAAAAAGCUUGAAACAGGUUAAUUUGACAUGGGUAAGCUUGGGUGUGAUUCUGGAAUAAUACCAAGCUGUCACCUCAGCCACAAAAAGCUUGAAACAGGUAAACUUGACAUGGGUAAGCUUGGGUGUGAUUCUGGAAUAAUACCAAGCUGUCACCUCAGCCACAAAAAGCUUGAAUCAGGUAAACUUGACAUGGGUAAGCUUGGGUGUGAUUCUGGAAUAAUACCAAGCUGUAACCUCAGCCACAAAAAGCUUGAAACAGGUUAACUUGACAUGGGUAAGCUUGGGUGUGAUUCUGGAAUAAUACCAAGCUGUCACCUCAGCCACAAAAAGCUUGAAACAGGUAAACUUGACAUGGGUAAGCUUGGGUGUGAUUCUGGAAUAAUACCAAGCUGUCACCUCAGCCACAAAAAGCUUGAAACAGGUAAACUUGACAUGGGUAAGCUUGGGUGUGAUUCUGGAAUAUUACCAAUCUGUCACCUCGGUAAAUCUUAAGAAGUACACUCCACCCCCUCCAACACCCCAGCCCCCCUACCCCACCAAGACAAGCCUGGGGACCUGUGGGGAGCCGGGGUUUUGGGGGGGGGAAGCUUAAUCACUGAAAAAUGGGCUUCCAAAAUUUCCCUAGAAAAAUCCCUAAAACAGGGAAAAUUCCAUAAUCUCAAAAGUAGGGAAAGUCCCUAACGCAUACUCUUGUAGUCUAUUGCAAUAUGACCUAGCAUUCCGUCUGUUGACGAAUGUCAGGCAUGUCAUUGGAUGGUGGGCAUAGUGGCCCCCCCCACCCCACCCGCACUGCGUAAUUUUUGACAGGCCACGCCACAUGUCAAAUAUAUUUAAACUGCUCCAACCGAACUUUACGACCUGCUAAUGAAGAGGGCUUCGCCCCCCUCGACCCACAUGUAUAUGCGACUUCUUUCUGUGAAGAGGUAUUUCUCGCAACACCGGUUGCACCACCGUCACAGCUGCCGCCACAGGAGGCUGCACUUUUGUCAAUAUUAUCCCAUAUUUUCAAUAAUAAAUAGUCCUUGAAUUGGAUUUUGAAAGCGUUACUAUGGUUGUUGAACAUUUGUAGAAAAGAUAUAUGAAUAGCUAGUGUUGUUUCAUAAGGUAGGUAAUGGAUUGAAAUACUGGCACGGUACUAAAACUAUUCUUAACCCAUCAGUUAGCUUCAUCAAUCCUUGUAGGAAACUGUUGUUUCGGUGGUGGAAUGCCAAAUCACUGAAAAAUGGGCUUCCAAAAUGUCCGUAAAAAAUCAUAUAUAGGGAAAAUUCCCUAGUCUAAAGUAAGGAAAGUCCCUAACGUAUACUCUUGUAAUUUAUUCCAAUAUAACCAACCAGCCGCCACAGCGGGUCUGUUGACGAGUGUCGGGCGCGUAAUUGGAUGGUCACUGUAGUGGAACCCCCCCAACCCCCACCGCCGCCGCCCCAAUCUGUAUAAUUGAGCAACUCUUGGGAAAUGUCAUGUUUCAUAAAAACAUAUGGUACAAUACUGACGGUUAACCCAUCCACUUCUUGUUAGUUGAUGGUAGAUCAUUGUUACCGAGUAGUUUGGGGUACAAAAUGCAACAGAUUUGUGACAGCUGUCAUAUAUGACCCGUUAGUGACCUAACGAUUGCUAUGUAUCACCCUGGCCUCCAUUUUACUUAAACUAUGAUUACGCGCGUCGAACAAUAUCCGGUUGGUUUCUGACACGUGACAAGCUUCAUGCGACCGCUAUUCACAAAACACAGAUCUGUCACAUGCCCGGGUCAUUAUUCAAUUCGAUUUUUGGAUAGUAAUCAGUCCUUUUGUCUAACUACAUGCAUACCAAUAAAGAGGUUGAAUAGUCA